RNAcentral lists this ribosomal RNA (137 nucleotides) under uncultured eukaryote. Its description in RNAcentral is "partial 18S ribosomal RNA". It matches the Rfam family "Eukaryotic small subunit ribosomal RNA", at positions 1299 to 1458 of the family's 1831-position model. The record is from RNAcentral.
UGGUGGAGUGAUUUGUCUGGUUAAUUCCGAUAACGAACGAGACCUUAACCUGCUAAAUAAUCUGUCCCAUUUCAUGGGAUUUGAUUUCUUAGAGGGACUAUGCGAAUAUAAGCGCAUGGAAGUUUGAGGCAAUAACA